This 788-nucleotide ribosomal RNA is filed under the name Methanoculleus sp. enrichment culture clone HA1_31. Its description in RNAcentral is "bacterial SSU rRNA". It matches the Rfam family "Archaeal small subunit ribosomal RNA", at positions 85 to 879 of the family's 1478-position model. Lineage: Archaea; Methanobacteriati; Methanobacteriota; Methanomicrobia; Methanomicrobiales; Methanomicrobiaceae. The record is from RNAcentral.
ACGGCUCAGUAACACGUGGAUAACCUGCCCUAAGGAAGGGGAUAACCUCGGGAAACUGAGGAUAAUACCCUAUAGGUUACAGACGCUGGAAUGCCCUGUAACCGAAAGUUCCGGCGCCUUAGGAUGGAUCUGCGGCCGAUUAGGUUAUUGUUGGGGUAACGGCCCAACAAGCCGAUAAUCGGUACGGGUUGUGGGAGCAAGAGCCCGGAGUUGGAUUCUGAGACAUGAAUCCAGGCCCUACGGGGCGCAGCAGGCGCGAAAACUUUACAAUGCGGGAAACCGUGAUAAGGGAACCCCGAGUGCCUGUAUAUGCAGGCUGUCCAGGUGUCUAAAAAACACCUGAAGAAAGGGCCGGGCAAGACCGGUGCCAGCCGCCGCGGUAAUACCGGCGGCUCGAGUGGUGGCCACUUUUAUUGGGCUUAAAGCGUUCGUAGCUGGGUUGUUAAGUCUCUUGGGAAAUCUGACGGCUCAACCGUCAGGCGUCCAAGGGAUACUGGCAAUCUUGGAACCGGGAGAGGUGAGGGGUACUUCGGGGGUAGGAGUGAAAUCCUGUAAUCCUCGAGGGACCACCUGUGGCGAAGGCGCCUCACCAGAACGGCUUCGACAGUGAGGGACGAAAGCUGGGGGAGCAAACCGGAUUAGAUACCCGGGUAGUCCAGCCGUAAACGAUGCGCGUUAGGUGUAUCGGUGACCACGAGUCACCGAGGUGCCGAAGGGAAACCGUGAAACGUGCCGCCUGGGAAGUACGGUCGCAAGGCUGAAACUUAAAGGAAUUGGCGGGGGAGCAC